Gossypium raimondii (Peruvian cotton) is the source of this 632-nucleotide long non-coding RNA. RefSeq lists it as uncharacterized. The record is from RefSeq and is a predicted model, not a curated record. The transcript has 4 exons. Lineage: Eukaryota; Viridiplantae; Streptophyta; Magnoliopsida; Malvales; Malvaceae.
UAUGCAAUAAAAUUGUCUGAUUUCUAUCCUAUUUCUUCACUACCAAUUACUGAUUCGGUGUUUAAAGAGACCAUCACCACAAAAACACUCCCCACUUUGCCCUCUCCCACUUUCUCACCUGAAAAAAGUGAACGGGCAAUCACCUUCAUCACAACGUCAGAUAAAACGGUUAUUAGCAAUAAAGGACGACAAUGAAGAACUGUGAAAGACUCGCCAAUUUAGCUUUAGCAGAGCAAUUACAUAAAGAUAAUAAAGCUGUGGCACCAGAAGUGGCAACCUCAUCCGCAAUUACAUCUUCAUUGGAUUCAAAAACAGGGAACUCUGACAGUUUGCAAGAUGAGACUUUUGAGAGUUUUGCAUUUGCUUUAAUUAAUGGUGCACUCUGAGUCUUUGAGGUACAUGGUCGGAGGAUCUGAGACUUCAGUUAUAAUUUGUCGUAAAUGUUUAAUAUAAUGUUAUAGAAUCAGGUUGAACCUACAUGCUACUAGAAAAUGUGUAAUCUUCUUUAUUUUGGUUUAUAUGUGAGCCAUUUGUUAUGUGUUUGCCUUUACAUCUGUACUUCAUGAAUUUGAGUCCCUAUAGUAGUCUUGAACAUAUAGAAUUUACUUUUAAUGUGUUAUUUAUUGUGGACA